Molecule: small nuclear RNA, 300 nt
Filed under: Vulpes vulpes (red fox)
Lineage: Eukaryota; Metazoa; Chordata; Mammalia; Carnivora; Canidae
Description: 7SK RNA (ENSVVUG00000003093.1)
Rfam family: 7SK RNA
About the family: 7SK was discovered as an abundant small nuclear RNA in the mid-70s but a possible function has only recently been suggested.
Source: Rfam by way of RNAcentral
GGAUGUGAGGGCGAUCUGGCUGCGACAUCUGUCACCCCAUUGAUCGCCAGGGUUGAUUCGGCUGAUCUGGCUGGCUAGGCGGGUGUCCCCUGCCUCCUUCACCGCUCCAUGUGCGUCCCUCCCGAAGCUGCGCGCUUUGUCGAAGAGGAUGACCAUCCCCGAUAGAGGAGGACCGUUCUUUGGUCAAGGAUAUACAAGUAGCUGCGCUCCCCUGCUAGAACCUCCAAACAAGCUCUCAUUAAGCGGAGAAAAGAAUCAAAGGACUAGGAAGAUAGGAAGGUUGUUUUGAUUUCUAUCCUU